CCUUUAAACUGACGUUUCGUCCGCUAGUAAAGAUUGGCGGUAGUGCAGACGACGUUGAGCUCAGUUCACAACAGAAAAUAUUUCAGCGUGAAUAACCCUAUAUUUUCUUCUGUUUAACCUAAGCUGAAUGGCCGAAUAAUACAUUAAUAUUUUUCUAUACUAUAUAUACUAUCUCUAAAAUGACAAUUACUCGAGAUUUUCAUUCAUCGAUUUCCUAAAUUCCUAUGUUUUUUUAAGUGUGGUCUAUGUUGCAUAAUACGAAAUUGUGACGUCUACCAUUGCGUCUGCUGGAACGUUAUCUGUCAAAUGCAUUCGAGGAGUUUAUAGUAUUGAUUCAUUUAUGAGUGUUUAGUUUAUCAGUGCAAUAAAUCAUUAGUCUCUACACUAAAUUUAAUUGCCCGUUCAGAGGGUUCUUAUGAGCAACUAAUAGUGAAUUUCCGUCAUUGUUUAAAAAUUUUGCAAAUGAUUAAAAAUGAGUCAAUGAGCAGAUACGGCCCACUUGUCGGUGCUAUUGACGAAGGGACCGGCAGUGCGAGAUUUUUGGUUUUUGCCGCUAAUACAGCAGAGGUGUUGACCUACCAUCAAGUAUCAAUAACGCAAUCGUGUCCGAAGGAAGGAUGGGUUGAACAAGAUCCCUUAGAGAUAUUGAGAGCUGUUCAAGAGUGUCUUGAUCAAACGGUUACAAAUUUACAGCAAUUAACAAUUGAUCCUUCGGAUAUUGUCGCUAUUGGGGUAACAAACCAAAGAGAAACAACAAUUGUCUGGGACUCCGUGACUGGAGAACCAUUGUAUAAUGCCAUAGUAUGGAUGGAUAUGCGAACCACCAGUAUCGUUGAUGAGAUUCUCAAAAAAGUUCGAUAUCAAAAUAAGAAUUACUUAAAACCGUUGUGUGGACUACCAAUUAGUCCAUACUUCAGUGCUUUAAAAUUAAAAUGGCUGCUAAAAAAUGUUCCUCGAGUGAGAGAGGCCAUAAAACAGAAAAGAUGUUUGUUCGGAACGGUAGAUUCUUGGAUUAUUUGGAAUCUAACUGGUGGAAUAAAUGGCGGUGUGCACAGUACAGAUGUGACAAAUGCCUCCAGGACAAUGCUGAUGAAUAUAGAAACCCUUAAAUGGGAUCCAGUGUUGUUGUCCUUUUUUGAUAUUCCUCUUGAUAUACUACCUCAAAUACGUAGUUCCUCAGAAAUCUAUGGCCAUAUUCAAGAAGGAUUGUUGAGGGGGGUUCCUAUAUCAGGAUGUCUAGGAGAUCAACAAUCAGCACUAGUCGGUCAAAUGUGCCUGCAACAAGGCCAAGCAAAAAGUACCUAUGGCACGGGUUGCUUCCUUUUGUACAAUACAGGUUCUGCGAUCGUAGAUUCGUCUCAUGGUUUGUUAACAACAGUUGCUUAUCAAUUUGGUGCCAAUGCACAACCUGUAUAUGCCCUAGAAGGUUCAGUUGCGAUAGCUGGUGCAGUUAUACAAUGGUUGAAAGAAAACUUAGGGAUUUUAACAGAUGUUAAUGAAUGUGAAUCUAUAGUCCAACAAGUUUAUAGCGAUAAUCGAAUUACUUUCGUACCUGCAUUUGCCGGGUUGUAUGCCCCCUAUUGGAGAAAAGAUGCUCGGAGCGUUAUAUGUGGGAUAACAGAGGAUACUAACAGCGCGCAUAUUAUAAAGGCUGCUUUACAAGCCGUAUGCUUUCAGACACGCGAUAUUUUAGAAGCCAUGAAGAAAGAUACUGGCUUGGUAUUAUCGAAACUUUUAGUAGAUGGUGGUAUGACCACAAAUAAUUUACUCAUGCAAAUGCAAGCUGAUAUCUGUGGUGUGCCUGUGGGAAGUCAGGCCAUUAAUGUGUGAAACUACUGCACUGGGUGCUGCGAUUGCUGCUGGCUGCGCAAGUGGUAUACGUAAAUGGGAUGUCAAGCUCGACGCAGCUGUACCAAGCGAUACUUUUAUCCCUUCCAUAACUGAGGAUGUGUACCUGGGUACCUUAAGAAGCUGGGCGUAGUUUGUAUCGUCGAAAGGAAGUCUGCCGUAUACCAUUGUAUACAAAACCACACCCAUGGACCAAAUGUCCGAUAACUGUGGCUGGUAAGGGACACCCCUAAGAAUUUCCGGAGAAGCGUAUGCGUAACUACCGCAAAACGUUUCGCUGAGGGGUGCUAUUCCAUUUUUGGGUUUCAUGUGACCCCGAGCGAAUCCAAAAUCCGAUAAUUUUAUGUUGAAGGCGGAGUCGAUUAACAAAUUCUCGCAUUUUAUAUCCCUAUGUGCAGUUAAAUGAUCCUAUCAAAUUCUGGUACUUGGUCCGUUGUUUUAUUUUCCCUUUACCUGUGAACCACACCUCGUUCAUGGCAAUAAUCGACGGCGUCGAUCAAUUGCCUAAACCAUCGGCGACCUCGUCCUUCGUCUAUGUGAGA
This is an RNA transcript of Athalia rosae (coleseed sawfly), 2390 nucleotides long. It is a transcript of the gene named glycerol kinase-like, with no coding region annotated. NCBI's taxonomy places the organism in Eukaryota, Metazoa, Arthropoda, Insecta, Hymenoptera, Athaliidae. The record is from RefSeq and is a predicted model, not a curated record. The transcript has 9 exons.